AGCUUUCUGCGAGGCAAAUUAAGGACAUAGGGUUUGCAUAGAACAAGACUGACAAGGCCAUGAAGCAUCUAAUCAGCUUGUCAGCUGCAUCCUGCAGGGCUCUGUAAUCUGCAGUGAAGCAUGUACACAGUUUCUGCCUCUGGUAGUGUAAUAUUCCCUCUUCCACUAUAAUAUAAUCUGCAAAAGACAGAAUGCAAGUGACAUGAUGAGAAACAUUUACUCAUAAUUUUAUUUUUAUUUUAUUUUAUUUUAUUUUAUUUUAGUUAUUUCUGUUCAGGAUAGUAAAACACAGGCUGCCAACUAAUGUGUCCUAUUUCUAAGCUGACAAUAAGGGUUGGUAAAGAGAUGGGGGCAGGAGGGACCUUGUCCAUUUGGAUAGUUUAAAUUGCAGCUUAACGGGCUAACUCUAAACCAGCCUAAUUUUAUAUUCUUUAUCCUCAGCUCUGUAUUACUGAGCCUGCUCCCACAAGGAUUUUCCCGCUAUUAAAUAUUCAGAAAGUGCUUCUCAGUUUUAUCUUUCAGGGACUAAAUAACAUUCAUAACCUCUCCAUAAGAAGCUGACCUCCACUGGUUUCUGAUUACUCCUCCCCACACAACAAUCCGAGACCAAGAGGCAGAAAGAGCAUGAAAAGUGAUCCUCCAGCUGGUCCAGACUCUGCCAGAAAGCCACGGAAAUCCUCUUCACACAGGAACAAGAAGCUGAGGAAAUGCAUCCCCUGUCCCUGACCUGUGCAUUCCUGGACAUCUGUUUAGAGGAAGAACUUUGACAUGGAGCAGAGAAGAGGUCUGUGAGGAGAGGUGGGCAGAGAAGGGUUGCAGAGACAGAAAUGCCCUUUGUCCACAUAGAAGGAGAAAGAUCAACUAGCUAUGAAACUGCUCUUUUAGCAAAUUGUACUUUCUUUUUCACAAAGGUGGUAUUUUCAGACAGAGAUCAGGACACAAGGAAUCCCCACUUCACUGUGUAGUGUUAGGUGCUAAGGAUUCAGCCAAGAACUAUUUUUUUAUUUUUUAUUUUUUAUUUUUUUUUCCUGAGAUAGUCCUAAGGAAAAAUGCAUAAGAGGUAUGCAUUGUCUUAUAAGGGUGCCUGAGCCCAUUGACAAAAAGAUAACGCUUCCUACCAGAGGCGUCUUCUAGUUUUGUUGUUGUUGUUGUUGUUGUUGUUUUUUUUCUUCCUAGGCUGAAAUUAUUAUUCUGUUACAGAAAGUAAAGGUUUCACCUUCCUUCCCGUAAAAAUUCCAUGCACUUUAAAAAGAAAAGAGAAACAUUUAUUCUUCAUGCUUCUGGUCCCCAUCCAGACCUUCACAAUCUUGCAAUGUGUUUAUCCUGGAAAACAGGGAAAUGUAUGUAUUUUCCCUGUAUUGCAAAUGGAGAAUUAAGGCAAAAGAGGAUUUGCCAACCUGAGAUGUGUGUGGACCUAGAACUUCUGCUCCCACCAUCAUCUGUACCUGUGAUACACAAACACACUCAGCUUGAGAAUCCCUCACCUAGAUAAAGAAUCCAGGUGAAACAUGGCUACAAGAUGCUUUUAUGGCCACAUGUAACAUAGUCCUAACUGUCUGCUGGUCAAAGAGGCUGUGAGA
Cygnus olor (mute swan) is the source of this 1580-nucleotide long non-coding RNA. RefSeq lists it as uncharacterized. Lineage: Eukaryota; Metazoa; Chordata; Aves; Anseriformes; Anatidae. The record is from RefSeq and is a predicted model, not a curated record. The transcript has 3 exons.